Molecule: ribosomal RNA, 244 nt
Filed under: uncultured bacterium
Lineage: Bacteria
Description: partial 16S ribosomal RNA
Rfam family: Bacterial small subunit ribosomal RNA
Source: RNAcentral
CGGACCGGCGCACGGGUGAGUAACGCGUAUGCAACUUACCUGUCAGAGGGGGAUAACCCGGCGAAAGUCGGACUAAUACCGCAUGAAGCAGGGGCCCCGCAUGGGGAUAUUUGCUAAAGAUUCAUCGCUGAUAGAUAGGCAUGCGUUCCAUUAGGCAGUUGGCGGGGUAACGGCCCACCAAACCGACGAUGGAUAGGGGUUCUGAGAGGAAGGUCCCCCACAUUGGUACUGAGACACGGACCAA